GUAGGUGGCAAGCGUUGUCCGGAAUUAUUGGGCGUAAAGCGCGCGCAGGCGGUUCUUUAAGUCUGAUGUGAAAGCCCACGGGCUCAACCGUGGAGGGUCAUUGGAAACUGGAGAACUUGAGUACAGAAGAGGAAAGCGGAAUUCCACGUGUAGCGGUGAAAUGCGUAGAGAUGUGGAGGAACACCAGUGGCGAAGGCGGCUUUCUGGUCUGUAACUGACGCUGACGCGCGAAAGCGUGGGGAGCAAACAGGAUUAGAUACCCUGGUAGUCCACGCCGUAAACGAUGAGUGCUAAGUGUUAGGGGGUUUCCGCCCCUUAGUGCUGCAGCUAACGCAUUAAGCACUCCGCCUGGGGAGUACGGCCGCAAGGCUG
Molecule: ribosomal RNA, 372 nt
Filed under: uncultured organism
Description: partial 16S ribosomal RNA
Rfam family: Bacterial small subunit ribosomal RNA
Source: RNAcentral